AGAGUUUGAUCAUGGCUCAGAUUGAACGCUGGCGGCAUGCCUUACACAUGCAAGUCGAACGGUAACGGGCCUUCGGGUGCCGACGAGUGGCGAACGGGUGAGUAAUGCAUCGGAACGUACCUUUCAGUGGGGGAUAACGUAGCGAAAGUUACGCUAAUACCGCAUAUUCUGUGAGCAGGAAAGCAGGGGAUCACAAGACCUUGCGCUGAUUGAGCGGCCGAUGUCAGAUUAGCUAGUUGGUGAGGUAAAGGCUCACCAAGGCGACGAUCUGUAGCGGGUCUGAGAGGAUGAUCCGCCACACUGGAACUGAGACACGGUCCAGACUCCUACGGGAGGCAGCAGUGGGGAAUUUUGGACAAUGGGGGCAACCCUGAUCCAGCCAUGCCGCGUGAGUGAAGAAGGCCUUCGGGUUGUAAAGCUCUUUCGGCCGGGAAGAAAUCGCAUGGGUUAAUACCCUGUGCGGAUGACGGUACCGGCAUAAGAAGCACCGGCUAACUACGUG
Molecule: ribosomal RNA, 502 nt
Filed under: uncultured bacterium
Lineage: Bacteria
Description: bacterial SSU rRNA
Rfam family: Bacterial small subunit ribosomal RNA
Source: RNAcentral